RNAcentral lists this ribosomal RNA (497 nucleotides) under uncultured bacterium. RNAcentral's name for it is "partial 16S ribosomal RNA". It matches the Rfam family "Bacterial small subunit ribosomal RNA", at positions 28 to 507 of the family's 1533-position model. The record is from RNAcentral.
GAUGAACGCUGGCGGCGUGCCUAAUACAUGCAAGUCGAGCGAACGGACGAGAAGCUUGCUUCUCUGAUGUUAGUGGCGGACGGGUGAGUAACACGUGGAUAACCUACCUAUAAGACUGGGAUAACUUCGGGAAACCGGAGCUAAUACCGGAUAAUAUUUCGAACCGCAUGGUUCAAAAGUGAAAGACGGUCUUGCUGUCACUUAUAGAUGGAUCCGCGCUGCAUUAGCUAGUUGGUAAGGUAACGGCUUACCAAGGCAACGAUGCAUAGCCGACCUGAGAGGGUGAUCGGCCACACUGGAACUGAGACACGGUCCAGACUCCUACGGGAGGCAGCAGUAGGGAAUCUUCCGCAAUGGGCGAAAGCCUGACGGAGCAACGCCGCGUGAGUGAUGAAGGUCUUCGGAUCGUAAAACUCUGUUAUUAGGGAAGAACAUAUGUGUAAGUAACUGUGCACAUCUUGACGGUACCUAAUCAGAAAGCCACGGCUAACUACGUG